Molecule: long non-coding RNA, 1817 nt
Organism: Amphiprion ocellaris (clown anemonefish)
Lineage: Eukaryota; Metazoa; Chordata; Actinopteri; Pomacentridae
Exons: 2
Source: RefSeq, a predicted model, not a curated record
GACAAACAUGUUCCUUAUAUUGGAGUCUUUGUUAGACUGUUCUAUAUUCUGUGUAACUUGACUGUUAUGUUGGUAAAAGCUGUUAAUGAGCUAAUAUUAAUGCCUUACAUGCUCCUGCUUUAUGCAUUAGCUCCAUGAACCUAAUGGAUUUAGUUUUCAUUUUUCAUGGAAGAAACUGUUUUUGUUAUUUUUUUUUUUUAGUAGUUGUACAACUGUAUUACAGAGGAACAUUCAGCUGCUUUUGUUUAAGCUUUAAUGCGAGGUCAGUAAUGUUCACAGGUUUACUUAAAGCUUAAAUGUGAUUUCACUGUGACCCUCACAGGUCAGGUUUUUGAGUUGGAGCCUUUUGGAUUUGGAGAAGAGCAGCGAUAGAAAGAGAAACACAGGAGUUUUCUGCAAUCCUCCCACAAACUCAGAAGAUUUGAGAACUUUCUGUCUCAUGGAUGGUGAGCCACAGCCGGGAUGGAGCUGAAGCCUUUAACUUCAUCCCUGUACACUGAUUCCUCGUUCCCCCGAAUGAGUCCAACCACUGUGGUGUCUUCAGCAAUGUCCAGACCAGCUGGUUGAUCUGUCAGCAGGUGGGCAUGUGAAAAUCCUGUCUCCCACAACCAAAAUCUGGAUUCGUUCUUGUUGGCUACAUCAUGGCAGGAAGGUGUAAACUUCAAUGGCCAACACCGGGUUCUGCCCAUGUCAGCACCAUCAUGGAAAAGCAUGAAUUUCAACAACUAAAGUCCGGAUCGAUCCCUGUCUUGUAUGUCAUGACAGGAACGUAUAGACUUUAAUAACCAAAUUCUGGUUCUGUCUAUGUCUGCUAUGGCAUGGGAAGAAGAUGUACACUGUAAUGACCGAAGUCUAGGGCCAUCUAUGUCCGCUACAUCAUGGCAGGAAGGUGUACCCUUCAACAGCCAACACCUGGUCCCAUCGAUGUCUGGUACGUCAUGGAAAAGCUUAGACUUUAACAACCAACGUCUGGCUCCAUCUAUGUCUGCGAUGUUGUGGAAAAGCAUGGACUUCAGUAACCAAAGGCUGGGUCCAUCCCUGUCCGGUACAUCAUUGGAAGAAGGUGUAUGCUCUCUUGACCAAAGUCCAGGUCCAUCCAUGCCUGCCACGUCAUGGCACAAAGAUGUACACUCCAAUGACCGAAGUCACACAGAGGAUGAAGCCCUAUGUCCAACAUUCUCUGGAUGCUUCGUCAUUGCAGCACCGAUUGGAGUCCAGCAUUUCACCUGAGAAAAAGAAGGAGAAUGUCAGCUGGUUCAGACUCAUUAUCAGGAAAAUUACACGAGCCAUCCACACCUACAUAUAUUAGUCAAUCAAUUACCCCUACUUCACCUCCCCCACUAUCAUUCCUACCCCCAUCCUAUCAUCUCCCCCACCCUUCUCUAUUGCCCUCAUCUUCAUACCCUUUUCUCAAUAAGAAAGUAAAGUGAGGUUUGCUUAUGUAGCCCUUUUCACAGCACAAUCACAACAGAACAGCAAUGUUACAGCUUGGCUCAAAACUGUAACAAAAAUGGAGACAAAAACUGUGCGGUGACUAAAAAUGGAUUUAUUGCAACGCAAAUAACCAACCCCGUGAAUUAGAGGCAGCAAACAAAACCCAAAACCAUGCAACUGGAGCUCCCGCAGGCAGCAGCUCCUGUCAGAGAGAGACCUGGAGUAGGAGUGAGAGGGAUUAAAGAGAGCUGAGCCACUUGAUCAUCACAGUUGUGGCUCAUCAGCUGACGACCCUCAGUUCCAGAAAGACCAGACAGGAACACCUGUCCAGGUGGAGGGUCGUCACAGUAGAUUCAUACAGUAAAGUAAAAAAAACAGACAAA